UGAGCUGUGAUGGGGAGAAGACAUUGUGUCUUCGAGUCGUUGAUUUCACACUGCCGAGAAAAGCCUCUAGAUAGAAAAUAGGUGCCCGUACCGCAAACCGACACAGGUAGUCAAGAUGAGAAUUCUAAGGUGAGCGAGCGAACUCUCGUUAAGGAACUCGGCAAAAUGACCCCGUAACUUCGGGAGAAGGGGUGCUCUUUAGGGUUAACGCCCAGAAGAGCCGCAGUGAAUAGGCCCAAGCGACUGUUUAUCAAAAACACAGGUCUCUGCUAAACCGUAAGGUGAUGUAUAGGGGCUGACGCCUGCCCGGUGCUGGAAGGUUAAGAGGAGUGGUUAGCUUCUGCGAAGCUACGAAUCGAAGCCCCAGUAAACGGCGGCCGUAACUAUAACGGUCCUAAGGUAGCGAAAUUCCUUGUCGGGUAAGUUCCGACCCGCACGAAAGGCGUAACGAUUUGGGCACUGUCUCAACGAGAGACUCGGUGAAAUCAUAGUACCUGUGAAGAUGCAGGUUACCCGCGACAGGACGGAAAGACCCCGUGGAGCUUUACUGUAGCCUGAUAUUGAAAUUCGGCACAGCUUGUACAGGAUAGGUAGGAGCCUUUGAAACGUGAGCGC
RNAcentral lists this ribosomal RNA (615 nucleotides) under Staphylococcus argenteus. RNAcentral's name for it is "partial 23S ribosomal RNA". It matches the Rfam family "Bacterial large subunit ribosomal RNA", at positions 1557 to 2171 of the family's 2925-position model. Lineage: Bacteria; Bacillati; Bacillota; Bacilli; Caryophanales; Staphylococcaceae. The record is from RNAcentral.